GGAUUAGAUACCCUGGUAGUCCAUGCUGUAAACGGUGCACACUAGGUGUAGGGGGUAUCGACCCCUCCUGUGCCGCCGCAAACGCAUUAAGUGUGCCGCCUGGGGAGUACGACCGCAAGGUUGAAACUCAAAGGAAUUGACGGGGGCCCGCACAAGCGGUGGAGGAUGUUGUUUAAUUCGAAGCAACGCGAAGAACCUUACCUGGGCUUGAACUGUAGCUUAUAUCCGGUGAAAGUCGGUGGACCUUCGGGUCGUGCUAUAGAGGUGCUGCAUGGCUGUCGUCAGCUCGUGUCG
This 294-nucleotide ribosomal RNA is filed under the name uncultured bacterium. RNAcentral's name for it is "partial 16S ribosomal RNA". It matches the Rfam family "Bacterial small subunit ribosomal RNA", at positions 775 to 1067 of the family's 1533-position model. The record is from RNAcentral.